ACUAGACUAACUGAAAUCACAAAAUCACAAAUAGUGCUUAUUGUGAUAACGUAAGGGAAAAAAUUGAUAUUACCUUACUAUAAGUGUUGUCUAAAUAACUGGUGCCAGAAGACUCGGUAACACCAGAAACGCGUAACGUGUAGUCUGUCUUAAACAUGCGUAAAGGGUAAGUACGCUGCUUUACAAUUCUAUUUUUAAAAAAGCUAAUUAGUAAUAUUCCGUCUGAUUCCAGCUAAGGUAGUAUCUGCCUUUUCUUGCCUUCCCCUCCAUAGGACUUGUCCUCCCCUAUUAAUUAGUAAAAUUAAGUAAAAAGGGGUGCUUUGCGCAGGCACACCUUCGGUUGGAAAAGACAGGGAGGCACUACGUGGUGCUAAAGCAUGCGGAGAGGACUACAAAUUCUCAUACCUUAAAUAUAAAAUAAGGCUAACUAAAUUUGAAAAUAGGGAAUUAUUGAAUGGAACACAUAGAUAUACUUAAAGCUAGAAUCAUAAUUGAGAUAAUCCAAAUGAUACUUAUGUGUAAGGGCGAUAUCUACAAUAGUAAGUAGCAUACUAACGGUGAAAACUUUUAUCUGGUAAUGAUUGACGCUGAGGUACGAAAGUGAGAACAGGGAAUAGGAUUAGAUACCCAGUUACCUCUCACCGUCAACGAUGNUUGGUAGUUGUUAGUUUAAUUAAAUUAGUGACGAUGUUAACGCGAUUACCAUUCCGCCUUGAGAGUACGGUUGCAAAACUAAAACCAAAAAAAUUAGUCGGUCUCGGAGUCAA
Molecule: ribosomal RNA, 767 nt
Filed under: Inocybe relicina
Lineage: Eukaryota; Fungi; Basidiomycota; Agaricomycetes; Agaricales; Inocybaceae
Description: 16S ribosomal RNA
Rfam family: Bacterial small subunit ribosomal RNA
Source: RNAcentral